CUUCUGUUUUUCUGAGUAGAAAAUGGCACUUUGCACUUUCCUCAUUUUUUUCUCUAGAUGAUUAGGUUGAGAGAAUGAAAGGAUACCAUUUUAACCCAAUAUCCUGCCAGCGGCUGCUAAGAAGGAUACCAAUUAAUUCUAAUUGUAGUGGCAGCUUUUAGGAUGUUGACUCUUCUUUAUUAAGAUUAUAACCAGGAACUCAGUGCACAUAGGUCACAAUGUAGCUGUCAAAUGGCAGCAACUUCAAUCAAUACCCACCUGGAUUGGAUGCAACCUGAUGACCUAGAGUUUUCUUUCAGUUUCAUGUCAGACUGCUGUUUUACUCUGCAGCCUCUAUUAGACUGACCCCCGUAUUGCAUAGAAAUGGCUUAAAAUUCUCAACUGACAGAACCUGUAAAUGGCCAGGUAUGUAUAUUUUUCCUUAUUGUAGCCACAGCAAAAAUGUCUGAAACCUAAAAUUUAUUUUAACAGAAAACUCUGAAACCUAUCUCAAAUUGUUGUUGU
RNAcentral lists this long non-coding RNA (504 nucleotides) under Sus scrofa (pig). RNAcentral's name for it is "lncRNA (ENSSSCG00030045523.1)". Lineage: Eukaryota; Metazoa; Chordata; Mammalia; Artiodactyla; Suidae. The record is from RNAcentral.